AGUAACGCGUGAGGAACCUGCCUCAAAGAGGGGGACAACAGUUGGAAACGACUGCUAAUACCGCAUGACAUCCCGGGGCCGCAUGGUCCUGGGAUCAAAGGAGCAAUCCGCUGAGAGAUGGACUCGCGUCCGAUUAGCUAGUUGGUGAGAUAAAGGCCCACCAAGGCGACGAUCGGUAGCCGGACUGAGAGGUUGAACGGCCACAUUGGGACUGAGACACGGCCCAGACUCCUACGGGAGGCAGCAUG
RNAcentral lists this ribosomal RNA (248 nucleotides) under uncultured bacterium. RNAcentral's name for it is "partial 16S ribosomal RNA". It matches the Rfam family "Bacterial small subunit ribosomal RNA", at positions 109 to 353 of the family's 1533-position model. The record is from RNAcentral.